This 150-nucleotide small RNA is filed under the name Macaca mulatta (Rhesus monkey). Its description in RNAcentral is "Metazoan signal recognition particle RNA (ENSMMUG00000061515.1)". The record is from Rfam by way of RNAcentral. Lineage: Eukaryota; Metazoa; Chordata; Mammalia; Primates; Cercopithecidae.
GCUGGGCAUUGGGUGGUGUGUGCCUGUAUUCCUAGCUACUUGGGAGGCUGAGGCAGGAGAAUCACUCGAACCCAGGAGUUAGAGGCUACACUAAGCUAUGAUCGUGUCACUGCACUCCAGCCUGGGUGACAGAGUGAGACCCUGUCUCUU